GACGAACGCUGGCGGCGUGCCUAACACAUGCAAGUCAACUUGACUGAAGGAGCAAUCUGACAGUAGAGUGGCGCAAGGGUGCGUAACGCGUAAGUAACUUGCCCCAAGGUAAGGAAUAACGUCGAGAAAUCGGCGCUAAUACCUCAUAAUGCAGCGGAUCCGCAUGGAUAUGUUGUUAAAGGUUUACCGCCUUGGGAUAGGCUUGCGUCUGAUUAGUUAGUUGGUGUGGUAACGGCACACCAAGGCUACGAUCAGUAACUGGUCUGAGAGGAUGAUCAGUCACACUGGAACUGAGACACGGUCCAGACUCCUACGGGAGGCAGCAGUGAGGAAUAUUGGGCAAUGCUCGAAAGAGUGACCCAGCAACGCCGCGUGGAGGAUGAAGGUAUUCUAUAUCGUAAACUCCUGUGAGAGCAGACGAAAGACAGAUUAUUAAUCUGGAUGACUGUAUGCUCAGAGGAAG
Molecule: ribosomal RNA, 463 nt
Filed under: uncultured bacterium
Lineage: Bacteria
Description: bacterial SSU rRNA
Rfam family: Bacterial small subunit ribosomal RNA
Source: RNAcentral